Molecule: non-coding RNA, 1916 nt
Organism: Cricetulus griseus (Chinese hamster)
Lineage: Eukaryota; Metazoa; Chordata; Mammalia; Rodentia; Cricetidae
Source: RefSeq, a predicted model, not a curated record
AAUAGAGUGUGAACAGACAUCUAAACACCCCUUCCUUUGCCUUCCUGGGAAGCACGCCUUUCUACCCCAGAUUCAGUGUCCCUGGGUAACUCACUGUCAAGAGACUGGAAGUCCACGUCCAGGGAAGGCUGCCAAAGUGUCAGAGACCACCCCAGUCACCGGUGAGUCACUCCACCGAGCCCUGGAGGGAGAGAGACGUGACAGUGAACAGGAUGCAGAGUUCUGGGAUCACCCUGCCAGCUCUGCAAGUAUGUUAUCACAGAGAAGAGCAGUACCGUGAGGCUCCGCGUCCCCGAGUGUGGCGCCUGCACCUUCAUCUGCAGAGAGGUCACGGGCCGACACCUAGCUAGCAUCCGGGCGCGAUGCUCUCAGUGCGCUGCGGUCCGCCCACUUUCACCGAGCUCUCCCUCCCGCUCCCUGCGCGUUCUCAUCCUAGCGGUCGCCCCGAGUUUCCCGGAGUUUCCCAUCCUCACUUACACAGAGAGAGAGACCCUGCGAGGAUCCGGCAAAGCAGACUGCUCACCGCUCUGUCUCGACCGGCCGCGCGAAUGGCUCCUAAGGCUGGAGAAUCGUGAGAGAGAAUCGGCGUGUCAGACCUUUUAAAGGAAGGAAUCGACCAGAAAGGAGAACCUAAAUGACCGCAAACACGCCUCCUCGGACCUGUAACCCUCAGCCCCGCCCAGGGGUCACCGCCUGGCCUCAGCUCCACCCUAGGGCUCAGCUGACAGCACCCAGGGCCUGCUCGCCCAGACACACCCGGUCCACACCUUCUCUGACUCUCUUACUCUCCAUCCUGAUCCCGGAAAAGUUGCUCGAGAGCCUCCAACUUCUAUUUCCUAUGGUUUGGGGAUAGCUGACAAUUUUAAGUUAUCCAGAGCCAUCCCAGUGGCUCCAUAGCCUCCCUUACUAUGAAUGAAAUCGUACCCAAGCUGUGAUCUCACCUGUUUCACAGGCAAAGAAACGGUCUGGAAGCGGCUGUAUGGCUACCUAAGGUCACCUCUAGUGGCAGGGCCCAGGUCCAUCUAUCUGGAAAUAGUGAGGGAAUGACCGCGUGGAUGCAGUCAAGAAUGCAGAGCUAGGCUGUUGUCAACUGUGUCCUUUCAGUAUCACGGGCCAGUUUCUGUUUUGUUUUGAUUUUUUCCCCCUUCCCCUCCGGGUUCUUCCUGAUCCAGGGAUAUCCUCCAUAGUUGAGGGAAGGCCAGGGGAUCGCUUGCCCAGUAGGGGAAGUGACUCAUUCAGUCACAGCUAUCUGGCAGAAGGCACCACUGCCCUGCAUGGCACUGUGACUCCCCACCCCCAGCUGCCACCCGGACCUGCCAGAACUCUCCUCACACAAUUCCUAGUUUGGCUUCCCCAGCUAGCUGGCACUCUGGUGAGAGGACAAAUAGGUUUGAGAAUUAGGGGAGGGGGGGGGAGCGAAAACAGCCCAGCACAACCACUGUUUGCCUCUCAGAAGGACCUAGGUUCCUGAGAAUAGACAGUAGCAGAAUUGCCUAUGAUCCUGCUCCUGGGAAGACUAAGGUCUCUCCCAUUCAUUUCUAGGAGCCUACAAGUGAAGCUGGAUUCAAAGUACCAAAGACCAACUUCUGAGUCACGAAACCCUGCAAAUGACUGAGCCUGAACACAAAAUUGUAUUCGACAUUUUCUAUGCCACUCUGAAAUCAACAUCAUCAAAGCCUGUGGCAGAGAGCAAAACAAGGGCCUUCAGAGCUCUAAGAGCCACCUCAGCUGAUCUGUGUGAGGCAGAAAGCCCCAAUACUAAAGGUGUGGACUUUGGAGAAUCUCCUUUAAGCAUUGAUGUAAGCAAAGGAGGGGGCCUAUCCAAGGCCAGGCAGCACCAGAGAACCAUGCCCCAUUACUGUCCAGUAACAAAACCUGAGAGCAACUUCCAACUACAGAACAGCAACCAGGGUAUG